CCUACGGGAGGCAGUAGUGGGGAAUAUUGCGCAAUGGGCGAAAGCCUGACGCAGCGACGCCGCGUGAGGGAUGAAGGUCUUCGGAUCGUAAACCUCUGUCAGCAGGGAAGAACGGUCACUGUGCUAAUCAGCAGUGAAUUGACGGUACCUGCACAGGAAGCACCGGCUAACUCCGUGCAAGCAGCCGCGGUAAUACGGAGGGUGCGAGCGUUAAUCGGAAUUACUGGGCGUAAAGCGCUCGUAGGCGGUAUGUCAAGUCAAGGGUGAAAUCCCCGCGCUCAACGUGGGAACUGCCUUUGAAACUGGCAGACUGGAGUGUGUGAGCGGCUAGUGGAAUUCCAGGUGUAGGAGUGAAAUCCGUAGAUAUCUGGAGGAACAUCAGUGGCGAAGGCGACUAUCUGGCACAUAACUGACGCGGAGGAGCGAAGGCGAGGGUAGCGAACAGGAUUAGAUACCCCGGUAGUC
This 465-nucleotide ribosomal RNA is filed under the name uncultured bacterium. RNAcentral describes it as "partial 16S ribosomal RNA". It matches the Rfam family "Bacterial small subunit ribosomal RNA", at positions 338 to 795 of the family's 1533-position model. The record is from RNAcentral.